Non-coding RNA from Salvelinus sp. IW2-2015, 808 nucleotides. NCBI's taxonomy places the organism in Eukaryota, Metazoa, Chordata, Actinopteri, Salmoniformes, Salmonidae. The record is from RefSeq and is a predicted model, not a curated record.
GGGUAGAUCUCCAUGCCUUCCAAGAUCAGCAGACCGAUGUCCAGUGGAUGGUGUUGGGUAGAUCUCCAUGCCUUCCAAGAUCAGCAAUCGACCGUAGAACUGUUUGGGUCACUWAACCUGUGAUCUCUUUCUGUCCCUGCUGCAGUUUGGGGCGUCUCUGUGUGCUACUGGCUGGCUACCUGACUGUGGUUAUUGGUGACUAAGGGCCCAGAUGAUUCUGAUCCAGAGUUGGCUGUUCUGUUGACUCCUGCUCUCUCCUCUAAACCAGUCUUUGUGGAUUUGAGAGCACUCUCGGGCCACGGCGUUGGUCGACAAUGGCGCCUUGGCCAACAGGCGGGCAUGGGCAGUGGUCCUGGAGUGCGACUGAUCCCCUGUCCGUUUACCACGGUCAUGCUGACUGCGAAAUCCGCCCAUCCACGAAGAAAAUUGCAGACGUCCAUGUUGAAACCUAGGUCUGUCAGACACUCGGGCUUACUGAUGUCCCCUCGGCACUCCUUCAUGAAAUUAUCCAUGAGGUUAUUGAGGACGAGCUCAGUCAGACGGCCAACAAUCAAGGGCCAACACAGGGUUCACCACAGAAUUCACCACAGGCUUCAACACAGGGUUCACCAAUGGCUUCAUGUGGACUUGCUGAUCAGGAACCUGGGUUGGUACAGGAACCUCCACCUGGGCUGUUACAGCGUCACUGUGGAGAUUUGACCAUGUAACCAGAACUGCCUCAAUUUCGUCGGGGCGUGGAGUCUACAACGUGUCGAAAGCGUUCCACAGGCCCAUGUUGACUCCAAUGCUUCCCAUAGUUGUGUCAAGU